RNAcentral lists this ribosomal RNA (460 nucleotides) under uncultured bacterium. Its description in RNAcentral is "partial 16S ribosomal RNA". It matches the Rfam family "Bacterial small subunit ribosomal RNA", at positions 338 to 795 of the family's 1533-position model. The record is from RNAcentral.
CCUACGGGCAGCAGCAGUGAGGAAUAUUGGUCAAUGGCCGGAAGGCUGAACCAGCCAUGCCGCGUGAAGGUCAGUGCCCUAUGGGCGUUAAACUUCUUUUGUGCGGGAGCAAUAAUGGUCACGUGUGGCCAGACGAGAGUACCGUACGAAUAAGCAUCGGCUAACUCCGUGCCAGCAGCCGCGGUAAUACGGGGGAUGCAAGCGUUAUCCGGAUUUAUUGGGUUUAAAGGGUGCGUAGGCUGUGAGGUAAGUCAGCGGUGAAAUGCCCCCGCUCAACGGGGUGAAGUGCCAUUGAUACUGCCUGGCUGGAAUGCGGAUGCCGUGGGAGGAAUGUGUGGUGUAGCGGUGAAAUGCAUAGAUAUCACACAGAACACCGAUUGCGAAGGCAUCUCACGAAGCCGCGAUUGACGCUGAUGCACGAAAGCGUGGGUAUCAAACAGGAUUAGAUACCCCUGUAGUC